ACGCUCGACACCUACGGGGAGGCAGCAGGUGGGGAAUAUUGCACAAUGGGGGAAACCCUGAUGCAGCGACGCCGCGUGGAGGAAGAAGGUCUUCGGAUUGUAAACUCCUGUUGUUAGGGGAAAAAGAGGAUGGUACCCAACAAGGAAGUGACGGCUAACUACGUGCCAACAGCCGCGGUAAUCUGAGCGGGCUGGCAAGGC
RNAcentral lists this ribosomal RNA (201 nucleotides) under uncultured bacterium. RNAcentral describes it as "partial 16S ribosomal RNA". It matches the Rfam family "Bacterial small subunit ribosomal RNA", at positions 328 to 539 of the family's 1533-position model. The record is from RNAcentral.